This is a long non-coding RNA of Spinacia oleracea (spinach), 1662 nucleotides long. RefSeq lists it as uncharacterized. The record is from RefSeq and is a predicted model, not a curated record. Lineage: Eukaryota; Viridiplantae; Streptophyta; Magnoliopsida; Caryophyllales; Amaranthaceae. The transcript has 9 exons.
UCUCUCUCUCUCUCUCUCUCUCUCUCUCUCUCUCUCUCUCUCUCUCUCUCUCUCUCUCUCUCUCUCUUCUUCAGAUGUAACAUUGCUAAGGUUGGAAUUCCGCCGUUUUCACUGUUGUUCGAAGGAAUUUUGGCGUUAUCAUAUGAUAUUGAGCGAAUUUGGUGCCGAUUUACACUCUCAUCAAGAAUUCCAGAGUAGGAGAAGCAAAGCCACACGAGUUGAACCACGAUUCUUCCAGUUUGUUGCAUAGUAGGCAAGGUAAUAAUUGGAAACUAGUGUGACACUGAACGGAGUUUCUACUGCUUUUGCGUCAAAAGACAUCCUUGGUAAUGUUCUUGGUGGAUUGCCUAUGCAAUUCUCAAAGCCCUUUUCAUUUGGAGAUACAAUCAAGGCUGGAUCAAUAGAAGGUCAAGUGACGGAGAUGGGUUUAACUACAACUUCGUUAUUGAAUGCUGAAAAGUUUCCAGUAACAGUUCCAAACUCUAUGUUUUCUAAUCAGGUCAUCGUUAACAAGUCUCGAGCUGGGUGACGUGCUUAUAUCAGGAAAAUUCCAUUGCAGUUCGACAAUUUGGAGAAAGUUCCUCAGAUUUCAACUGACAUAAAGUCAAUGCUAGAGUCAUAUCCCAAAGUUUUUUUGGGACGUGAGGCUCCUUACUGUUAUCUCUCUCAAAUUGAUAGUUCAUAUGCUGAACUGACUCUUGGAUGCAAUCUCAAACAACUGAAAAAAUCUCUAAUGAAGGAGAACAAAAAUUACGGAGAAGGAGAACUCGCUGCUCUCUACCACGGCGAGUUUCCGAAUGCCGAUGCUUCCGAUGCCGCUGCUAUCAAGGAUUCUAAAUCUCAGUACCCGGAAGAGGUUGGAUGAACUUGUAGAUGAAGCUGGUGUGCCUCGUUAAAUGCAGGGGAAAUUCGAGCACGAGAUGGGGAUGCCUAAAGGCGGCACUUUUGCCUUGUACUCAUUGCUAUGCCGGCAUGCAAACCUUGGUGUUCUUCAUACUGAUGAGAAGUUAUCUGCAAUAUAUCUAUUGAGGGAUCUGAGCAGACAGCAAGGAAUUCUGCUUUCAAGCUACCAUUUGAAAAGCAUGAAAGAUUUCAUAAAGCGUUGCUGAUCUUUGUUUUUCUGGCAACAUGUAUGACUAUUGGUGAUGGUGUUCUCACACCAGCAAUAUCAGUUCUUUCGGCAGUGUCUGGAGUUCGUCUAAAAUUCACGGGACUUCAUGAAAUUAAGUUCUACUUCGUCCACAAAUCGAAGGGGAAAAAAGGAAGAAAGAGAGGCAUUACUAAAGUGUUUCAGAAACAUGCAACAGCUGCAAUGAAAUUUACAAUGAUUUUGACAAAUAAUAUCUUAAUUUGCAGAUUAUGUCGUUGUGGUUUCCUGCAUCAUUUUGGUAGUCCUUCUUUCUCUCCAACAUCAUGGAACACAUAGGGUUUCUUUCAUGUUUGCACCAAUUGUUUUAGCAUGGCUCCUUUGUAUCAGCAUCAUCGGUGUUUAUAAUAUUAUAAGGUGGUCAUUUUGUGUUUAUUGAUUUAGUCAGGUACUGAGUAUUGUUCAUCUGAUUGUUUUAAUUAGGAUAGAAAUGUUGAUGUAAUAUCUAGAUUGAUUGAAUAUCAAUUGUUGGUUUGGCUUAGAAUGUGAUGGUGGCUUGGUGUUUAUUGCUAUAA